This 427-nucleotide ribosomal RNA is filed under the name Staphylococcus aureus. RNAcentral describes it as "bacterial LSU rRNA". It matches the Rfam family "Bacterial large subunit ribosomal RNA", at positions 1 to 420 of the family's 2925-position model. Lineage: Bacteria; Bacillati; Bacillota; Bacilli; Caryophanales; Staphylococcaceae. The record is from RNAcentral.
AGAUUAAGUUAUUAAGGGCGCACGGUGGAUGCCUUGGCACUAGAAGCCGAUGAAGGACGUUACUAACGACGAUAUGCUUUGGGGAGCUGUAAGUAAGCUUUGAUCCAGAGAUUUCCGAAUGGGGAAACCCAGCAUGAGUUAUGUCAUGUUAUCGAUAUGUGAAUACAUAGCAUAUCAGAAGGCACACCCGGAGAACUGAAACAUCUUAGUACCCGGAGGAAGAGAAAGAAAAUUCGAUUCCCUUAGUAGCGGCGAGCGAAACGGGAAGAGCCCAAACCAACAAGCUUGCUUGUUGGGGUUGUAGGACACUCUAUACGGAGUUACAAAGGACGACAUUAGACGAAUCAUCUGGAAAGAUGAAUCAAAGAAGGUAAUAAUCCUGUAGUCGAAAAUGUUGUCUCUCUUGAGUGGAUCCUGAGUACGACGG